GAAAUAAUUAAAAAAUGAAAGCAUAGCAAUCGUAUCAUCUUCAUCUGAACCUCUGUUGUUCAAGAUGAUUUCGCCUUUUCCUUCUCAUCUGCAGUUGAAGAUAAACUCUUUCUUUUGCUUCUUCUUUGUGAGAUGAAAUUUGUUAUUUUCUGUGAAUUAUGUUGCAAAUGCUACUUGUUUGUUUCCUUCUGUUGAUGUCCAAAUCCUAUGAACUUUGAGAAUUUAGCCACUCUUUACUCCUGUAGACCCUUCAGCUUAUCUUCCUUGUUGACUGCCAAUUCAUUUUCUUGAAGCUCCAAAUCUGGUGCUAGCAGCCCUCAUUGAUGAAGAUAUCUUAAGAUUUCAGCUUGAUAAGCUCUAAUUUACUCAGGAUAUGGUUGCUGAUCCUCAUUUGCUACAAUUUUAUCCUCUGGAUGCCCCGACUCUGAUAGGGCUGCAAAUUGGUUGCUUGUUUGCAAAGUAUUCGCUGGAGCUUCUACUUUCUUUCCCUUGCUACUGCUACCAGAUGCAUCAUCUUUGGAAUAAGUUUGUCAAGUUGCUCCAUCUCUGGCCAUCCAUAAGAGAAUUUACCCACAACAGCAUGUUGUAGUUUCUCAAUGGUAUUCAUUCUUUCGACCUCCUCCUCAGUCCAUUUAAGAUAUGGCUCCCCAUGAAGAAAAGAUAUUUGCUUGAUCUCAAUUGGUGGAACAGGAUGUGAAACUGUAGGCUUCAAGAGAUUUGCAUAUUGUAAUUUGUUCUCAUUUGGUUGUGUUAUCACUCCUUCCUUAGGUGUUGCAAAAGUUAAUUGCUGGCCAGCCCCACCGGAGGACUGGCCACUGGCCGCAAAAGCCAUAAGCAACUAUCUUGAAAUAAGGUUAUGCAUGAAAAUAGGAGGUGAGAGGCUCAACUAAUGAAAUUUUCUCUCAGGCAAAUCAUCAAACAGGUUGCAGGCAAAACUUUAAAUCUCCAUCAGAAUCAGAAUCAGAAUCUGAAGAAUGUAAGCAUGGAUUUGACCGACGUGUGGGUCUAGAGUUGUUUUACUAUAUGUGAUGUUCUUUGGAAUCAAUGCUUAUUCAUCUCUGUCAAAGAUUGAGAAUCGUAUUUUUUAGUGAGAAGUAUAUUCUUGCCUGUGUAGCACUUUUAUAGUUUUAUGACGUUAGAGGUGCAGUUUUUUGUAUAUAUAAAAAACAAAGCAUCAUCGGGUGGGAAUGUGGGAAGCUAACUUGAAGG
Long non-coding RNA from Lycium barbarum (goji berry), 1209 nucleotides. RefSeq lists it as uncharacterized. Lineage: Eukaryota; Viridiplantae; Streptophyta; Magnoliopsida; Solanales; Solanaceae. The transcript has 3 exons. The record is from RefSeq and is a predicted model, not a curated record.